This 103-nucleotide microRNA precursor is filed under the name Marmota monax (woodchuck). Lineage: Eukaryota; Metazoa; Chordata; Mammalia; Rodentia; Sciuridae. The record is from RNAcentral.
AGAGUGAUAGCUGGGUCAAAUGGUGAUUCCAUUCCCAGUUUUCAAAGGACUCUCCAUACUGCUUUCCAUAGCAGUUGCACCAAUUUGCAGUCCCACCAGCAGU